This 422-nucleotide ribosomal RNA is filed under the name uncultured bacterium. Its description in RNAcentral is "partial 16S ribosomal RNA". It matches the Rfam family "Bacterial small subunit ribosomal RNA", at positions 360 to 774 of the family's 1533-position model. The record is from RNAcentral.
AAUUUUGGACAAUGGGGGAAACCCUGAUCCAGCCAUCCCGCGUGUAUGAUGAAGGUCUUCGGAUUGUAAAGCACUCUAAGUUGGGAGGAAGGGCUUUAGGUUAAUACCAUGAAGUUUUGACGUUACCAACAGAUUAAGCACCGGCUAACUCUGUGCCAGCAGCCGCGGUAAUACAGAGGGUGCAAGCGUUAAUCGGAAUUACUUGGCGUAAAGCGCGCGUAGGUGGUUCAGUAAGAUGGGUGUGAAAUCCCCGGGCUUAACCUGGGAACUGCUUUCAUAACUGCUGAGCUAGAGUACGGUAGAGGGUAGUGGAAUUUCCUGUGUAGCGGUGAAAUGCGUAGAUAUAGGAAGGAACACCAGUGGCGAAGGCGACUACCUGGACUGAUACUGACACUGAGGUGCGAAAGCGUGGGGAGCAAACA